CCGGGAGCUACUUCUUGCCCUUCGUCCACUGGCAGUAAGUGACAAUAUUCUGCACAUUCCCCGAUCGCUGCGAAUAAAUAGCUUACAGGCUGCAGCAAGUGGAAUAUUGUCCAAAAAACAACGGAGGAAGAGAGGAAGGAGGGGAGGCAUUCAACGCAGACUGAGGAAAUAUGGUCUAAGGGACAGACGCCGGCUCCCAGCGCUACCAACUAUUCUUCUCUCAAACGUUCAAUCCAUUCGCAACAAGAUGGAUGAACUGGAGGCUUAUGCUAGAUGUAAGCAUGACUUUAGAGAAACAUGCCUGCUGGCCUUUACCGAGACGUGGCUGGGAGACGCGGAUCCUAACGAGGAUCUACAUAUAACCGGCUUCAGGUACCCUGUUCGUAUGGACCGGUCGCCUCUCAUAACAAACAAAUCCCGCGGAGGCGGAGUGUGUUUUUACAUUAAUGAGAGGUACUGUAAUACUGUCGUGGUCCGGGAAAAAAUAUGUACCCCAGACCUUGAGCUGCUAUCCAUCUCAAUUCGCCCCUUCUACUUGCCGAGGGAGUUUCCCCAGCUUUUCUUCACCCCUGUUUACAUUCAUCCGCGGGCGAACGUCGCGUCAGCCAAUCAGCUGAUCGCGGAGGUGACCAACAGACUGGACGCUUUUUCCCCCGACGCUCCAAAAUUCAUUUUAGGAGAUUUUAAUCAUUGCCAGGUUCAGAAGACAUUGAAAACAUAUGAACAGUAUGUUACCUGUGCAACUACUAAGAAGAACUCCACUAUUGACUUGUGCUAUGGCUCAGUACCUGGCGCUUUCAGAUCACUGCCUCUGCCUCCUUUUGGAGCCUCCUAUCACAAUAGUAUACUCCUUGUGCCGAUUUACAAGCCCAUCUGUAAGCGACAAGAGCAAACAGUUAUAUCAGUUAAAUGCUGGACGGAAACCAGCAUUGCCAGUCUACAAGCUUGCUUUGAUUGUACAGAUUGGGAUGUAUUCUAUAGCUCAUGCUCUGACUUAAAUGAUCUGGCUCAAACAGUUUCUUCUUACAUGUCCUUCUGUGUGGACACCAAUAUUCCCUGUAAAAAUAUUACAGUCUUCCCUAAUAACAAACCAUGGGUUACUAAAGAACUAAAAAAUGUCAUAAACAAGAAGAAAAGCAUUUUUUAUACAGGGAAUAGCCAGGAAAAGAAAGAAAUUACCAGGGAAGUAAGGAAUGAGAUAAGAAAAGCUAAAAGACUGUAUAAGGAUAAGGUGGAACAUAAGUACAGUGGUGGUGAUCUUCGGGCAGCUUGGAAGGGAAUUAAAUCCAUGUCCUCAAUCAAUCAGGGAAACAGUGACAGUGAUAGGAAACCUCUUAACAUCGAGGGAAUAAGUGAUGCAGAUCUCCCAAAUACUUUUAACGAUUUUUAUUCCCGUUUUGAAAAACAUGAUUUUUCUAGCAAUAUCUCUCUCCUUAGACAGUCCCUCUCUUCUGAUUGUGAUAUUGUCAUCAGUCAGGAAUGUGUUAGAGAUCUUCUAAAACGUGUAAACAUCAGGAAGGCCCCUGGUCCAGAUCACAUCUGUGGGCGCACGCUGCAUUACUGUGCUGACCAGCUUAGUAGUGUCCUUCACCAUAUCUUUCAGAGAUCACUUGAUUCUAAUCAAAUCCCCGCUAUCUGGAAAACAUCCACUGGGAUACCUGUCCCAAAGAUCACUAAUCCAAGGCAACUUAAUGAUUUUAGACCAGUUGCGCUAACAUCAUUAAUAAUGAAAAUCUUAGAGAAAAUUUUAAAAAACCUUGUUUUAUCUAUUGUGGAUGAAAAACUUGAUCCACUUCAAUUUGCUUACCAGUCAGGGAGAGGUGUUGAGGACGCAAAGCUUUUAAUACUCAAUAACUUGUACAAACAUUUAGAAAAGCCUCAAGCCCAUUUCAGGCUCUUGUUCGCAGACUUUUCAUCGGCAUUCAACACGAUGCAGCCGCAUCUUUUAAUAGAAAGGUUGCUAUAUGAUUUUAAAUUACCUCAUCAGAUUGUGUUAUGGAUUUUGGACUUCUUGACUGACAGAGUGCAGAGAGUGUCUGUAAAUGGCAGUUUCUCCGAUUCUCUAAUUAUGUCCACAGGCUCGCCACAAGGGUGUGUCCUUUCGCCCUUACUUUUUAUUAUGUAUACUGACGGAUGCAGGAGCAGUCAGGAGGGCAGCAGCUAUUUGGUCAAAUUUUCUGACGAUACCGCGUUAUUGUCCCUUCUCCAAGGCUCAGAAUCAGACCACGGGAAUGCUCUCACUGAUUUUAUUUCUUGGUGUGAUGAUAACUUCUUGGACUUAAAUGUUUCUAAAACCAAGGAACUGAUCAUUGAUUUUAGACGGAACAGGAAUACAGCCAAAGAGUGUAUCAUACAUAAGCAAAGUGUGGAAAUAGUAACAUCUUAUAAAUAUCUGGGAACUAUUUUCGAUGAUCACCUUAAGUUUGAUGUAAACACUGAGGCUAUUGUGAAGCGAGGGCAACAGAGAAUUCACCUUCUCCGCAAACUAAAUUCCUUUUCUGUAAGUCCUGUCAUCCUCUGUCGUUUUUAUCAAUCUUUUAUUGAGAGUCUCCUGAGCUUUUCUUUUAUUUGCUGGUUUCACAGCCUCACAGUAAAAGACAGAAACAGCCUGAACAGUAUAGUUAACAUCUGUUCUAAGAUCACCGGAGUAAAACAAAGGGACUUGAAUUCUUUUUGCAAUCGGCAAAUCAUUAAGAAAGCAGCAGGUAUUUUGGCUUCUUCUGGUCAUACUCUUAAAAGUGAAUUCUCUCUAUUGCCAUCAGGGCGUCGCUACGCUUUACCUGCUUGCAGAACAAACUGCCAUUCCAAGUCGUUCAUCCCCUCUGCAAUUCGACUACUAAAUGCUCCGUAGUUGUGUAUGUGUAUUUGUUGUUUGUAUGUUACUGUGUCUGUAUGCAAGCUGCUCAAACAAAUUGCCCCUAGUGGGAUAAAUAAAGUUGUAUUGUAU
Long non-coding RNA from Gadus morhua (Atlantic cod), 2947 nucleotides. NCBI's taxonomy places the organism in Eukaryota, Metazoa, Chordata, Actinopteri, Gadiformes, Gadidae. The record is from Ensembl.